GAAUUUUGGACAAUGGGCUAAAGCCUGAUCCAGCAAUGCCGCGUGCAGGAUGAAGGCCUUCGGGUUGUAAACUUCUUUUGUACGGACCGAAAAGCUUUGGGUUAAUAACCUGGAGUUCUGACCGGACCGUAAGAAUACUCACCGGCUAACUCCUUGCCAGCAGCCGCGGUAAUACGUAGGGUGCAAGCGUUAAACGGAAUUACUGGGCGUAAAGCGUGCGCAGGCGGUUUUGUAAGACAGAGGUGAAAUCCCCGGGCUCAACCUGGGAACUGCCUUUGUGACUGCAAGGCUAGAGUACGGCAGAGGGGGGUGGAAUUCCGCGUGUAGCAGUGAAAUGCGUAGAUAUGCGGAGGAACGCCGAUGGCGAAGGCAACCCCCUGGGCCUGUACUGACGCUCAUGCACGAAAGCGUGGGGAGCAAACA
This 423-nucleotide ribosomal RNA is filed under the name uncultured bacterium. RNAcentral describes it as "partial 16S ribosomal RNA". It matches the Rfam family "Bacterial small subunit ribosomal RNA", at positions 359 to 774 of the family's 1533-position model. The record is from RNAcentral.